GUGGGGAAUAUUGGACAAUGGGGGGAACCCUGAUCCAGCCAUGCCGCGUGUGUGAAGAAGGCCUUUUGGUUGUAAAGCACUUUAAGCGAGGAGGAGGCUACCGAGAUUAAUACUCUUGGAUAGUGGACGUUACUCGCAGAAUAAGCACCGGCUAACUCUGUGCCAGCAGCCGCGGUAUUACAGAGGGUGCAAGCGUUAAUCGGAUUUACUGGGCGUAAAGCGCGCGUAGGUGGCCACUUAAGUCAAAUGUGAAAUCCCCGAGCUUAACUUGGGAAUUGCAUUCGAUACUGGUUGGCUGGAGUAUGGGAGAGGAUGGUAGAAUACCAGGUGGAGCGGUGAAAUGCGUAGAGAGCUGGAGGAAUACCGAUGGCGAAGGCAGCCAUCUGGCCUAAUACUGACACUGAGGUGCGAAAGCAUGGGGAGCAAACAGGAUUAGAUACCCUGGUAGUCC
Molecule: ribosomal RNA, 451 nt
Filed under: uncultured bacterium
Lineage: Bacteria
Description: partial 16S ribosomal RNA
Rfam family: Bacterial small subunit ribosomal RNA
Source: RNAcentral